UACCUGGUUGAUCCUGCAGUAGUCAUAUGCUUGUCUCAAAGAUUAAGCCAUGCAUGUGUAAGUAUGAACUAAUUCAGACUGUGAAACUGCGAAUGGCUCAUUAAAUCAGUUAUAGUUUGUUUGAUACCUACUACUCGGAUAACCGUAGUAAUUCUAGAGCUAAUAC
This 166-nucleotide non-coding RNA is filed under the name Ipomoea nil (Japanese morning glory). RNAcentral's name for it is "Eukaryotic small subunit ribosomal RNA". It matches the Rfam family "Eukaryotic small subunit ribosomal RNA", at positions 1 to 170 of the family's 1831-position model. Lineage: Eukaryota; Viridiplantae; Streptophyta; Magnoliopsida; Solanales; Convolvulaceae. The record is from Rfam by way of RNAcentral.